This 480-nucleotide ribosomal RNA is filed under the name uncultured bacterium. RNAcentral's name for it is "partial 16S ribosomal RNA". It matches the Rfam family "Bacterial small subunit ribosomal RNA", at positions 28 to 507 of the family's 1533-position model. The record is from RNAcentral.
GACGAACGCUGGCGGCGCGCUUAACACAUGCAAGUCGAGCGAUGAAACUUUAACAGAACCCUUCGGGGCGAAGAUAAAGUGGAUUAGCGGCGGACGGGUGAGUAACACGUGAGUAACCUGCCUUAGACAUUGGGAUAGCCUCGGGAAACCGGGAUUAAUACCAAAUAAAAUCAUAAUUACACAUGUCAUAACGAUCAAAACUCCGGUGGUCUAAGAUGGACUCGCGUCCCAUUGGCUAGUUGGUAGAGUAAAAGCCUACCAAGGCGACGCUGGGUAGCCGGCCUGAGAGGGUGAACGGCCACAUUGGAACUGAGAACCGGUCCAAACUCCUACGGGAGGAAGCAGUGAGGAAUAUUGCACAAUGGAGGGAACCCUGAUGCAGCGACGCCGCGUGAACGAAGAAGGCUUUCGAGUCGUAAAGUUCUUUUAUAUGGGAAGAUAAUGACGGUACCAUAAGAAAAAGCCCCGGCUAACUACGUG